UGGGGAAUUUUGGACAAUGGGCGAAAGCCUGAUCCAGCAAUGCCGCGUGUGUGAAGAAGGCCUUCGGGUUGUAAAGCACUUUUGUCCGGAAAGAAAUCCUUGGCUCUAAUACAGUCGGGGGAUGACGGUACCGGAAGAAUAAGCACCGGCUAACUACGUGCCAGCAGCCGCGGUAAUACGUAGGGUGCAAGCGUUAAUCGGAAUUACUGGGCGUAAAGCGUGCGCAGGCGGUUUGCUAAGACCGAUGUGAAAUCCCCGGGCUCAACCUGGGAACUGCAUUGGUGACUGGCAGGCUAGAGUAUGGCAGAGGGGGGUAGAAUUCCACGUGUAGCAGUCGAAAUGCGUAGAGAUGUGGAGGAAUACCGAUGGCGAAGGCAGCCCCCUGGGCCAAUACUGACGCUCAUGCA
This 407-nucleotide ribosomal RNA is filed under the name uncultured bacterium. Its description in RNAcentral is "partial 16S ribosomal RNA". It matches the Rfam family "Bacterial small subunit ribosomal RNA", at positions 355 to 753 of the family's 1533-position model. The record is from RNAcentral.